This 432-nucleotide ribosomal RNA is filed under the name uncultured bacterium. RNAcentral's name for it is "bacterial SSU rRNA". It matches the Rfam family "Bacterial small subunit ribosomal RNA", at positions 28 to 441 of the family's 1533-position model. The record is from RNAcentral.
GACGAACGCUGGCGGCGUGCUUAACACAUGCAAGUCGAACGGAGCACUUAAUGAGAUUUCUUCGGAUUGAUUAUUUUGUGACUGAGUGGCGGACGGGUGAGUAACGCGUGGGUAACCUGCCCCAGACCGGGGGAUAACAGUCGGAAACGACUGCUAAUACCGCAUAAGCGCACAGUGCCGCAUGGCACGGUGUGAAAAACUCCGGUGGUCUGGGAUGGACCCGCGUCCGAUUAGUUAGUUGGCGGGGUAACGGCCCACCAAGACCGCGAUCGGUAGCCGACCUGAGAGGGUGACCGGCCACAUUGGGACUGAGACACGGCCCAGACUCCUACGGGAGGCAGCAGUGGGGAAUAUUGCACAAUGGAGGAAACUCUGAUGCAGCGACGCCGCGUGAGCGAAGAAGUACUUCGGUAUGUAAAAGCUCUGUCAGCA